UCAAGAAACUUCCACAAUGGGCGAAAGCCUGAUGGAGCGACGUCGCGUGAUGGACGAAGUGCUUCGGCACGUAAACAUCUUUUAUGUGGGAUGAAAUUAUUGACAGUACCACAUGAAUAAGGGGCUCCUAACUCUGUGCCAGCAGGAGCGGUAAUACAGAGGCCCCAAGCGUUAUCCGGAAUCACUGGGCGUAAAGGGUGUCGAGGCGGUUGUGUUAGUCGUUCGUAAAAUCUACGAGCUUAACUUGUAGGCGGCGAACGAAACGGUACGACUUGAGGUUUGGAGAGGUGCGUGGAACUCACGGUGUAGGGGUGAAAUCCGUUGAUAUCGUGGGGAACACCAAAGGCGAGGGCAGCGCACUGGCCAAAAUCUGACGCUCACACACGAAAGCUAGGGUAGCGAAGAGGAUUAGAUACCCGUGUAGUCCCUGAGCGGGCUGGCAAGGCGCAU
RNAcentral lists this ribosomal RNA (450 nucleotides) under uncultured bacterium. RNAcentral's name for it is "bacterial SSU rRNA". It matches the Rfam family "Bacterial small subunit ribosomal RNA", at positions 355 to 825 of the family's 1533-position model. The record is from RNAcentral.